This is a long non-coding RNA of Populus nigra (black poplar), 1574 nucleotides long. RefSeq lists it as uncharacterized. The transcript is spliced from 2 exons. NCBI's taxonomy places the organism in Eukaryota, Viridiplantae, Streptophyta, Magnoliopsida, Malpighiales, Salicaceae. The record is from RefSeq and is a predicted model, not a curated record.
GGGAAAUGUCUAAUAAAGGGUCAAGCGGCAUUUCUCCGCGAGGAAUGCCCCAAUGGAAUAUCUUUGCGGUCAUUUUCAGAAAAUGGUGUAAAAUGCACUGAUUUUAUUAUUCCACGAGAAGUGCAUGUGAAUGAGGUUGCCACCCCUCAUGUUGCCGUGGCUGCUCACCGUGCCACCAGUCCCCGACCUCCUGACUCUGUCCAGCACGCUCCAAAAAAGCCCCACAAAAAGAAGCAGCGCAAGCAGGCAUCCCCGGCGUAGAAUGUUAAUUAAUUGACAUUGUUAAUCUGUUGUUAAUUAAUGUAUUUUAAUUGAAUACUCUUUUUAAUAUUUUAAUGGAUCUUUGUUACUUUGUAAUAUUUUUAAUAUUUUAAUGUAUCUCUGUGUUUUAUUGUUAAUUGACAUUAUGAAUCCAAGCAGGCAUCACUUGGAUUCAUCAUGUAGGUAAAUCAUACAAAGCGUGAACUGCACAAUGUCUUCAUUAGAAAACUUUACAGGUAUGAUAAUGUUGUACAUUGAUUUUAGUCAUUAGUCCUGAUUUCUUCUGUGUCUUCCUGAAACAGGGAGAAUUUGUUUGAGGAGAUUAUGCAGGAACAUGAUGAGAUAGCAAUGAAGAGAAAGCAAACACGAGAACAACUUAGAGUUCUCCAACAGGCAUUGAGGGUAGGCUUUUCAUGACUCUCCAAUUAGCAAAGACCAUAUACCUUCACACUGUCCUCAAGUUCUAUCAUGGUUCUCUAGAAGUAUUAAUUUUCCUUAAGCUCUUUGGUUUUGGGAUUGGAGUUAAUUUGCUUUCUACUGCACAUGUAUAUGGUGAUUGGUAUCUGCAUAUUUAUGCAAGCAUUUAACAGGCUUAUUGUCAGAACUCGGAUGAGUAGGUGAAGAACAUUAGUGUUUCGUCAAAUGGGGUGACCUUUAAGAUUUUAAUCUUUCUUGCUUAGCGCGUUGUUUAUCUUGUGCAUGGUGACCCUUGUUACCCUCUCCUCUUGGAGAACUUAUUUACUACCCAAAAGCUAGCAUGCAUCAGUGGGCUUUUGUCACCAGAUGUGGAUAUGAAAUUCAAUUGCUCUGUUGUCAUGAGGUUCAUUAGUUGCUUCUGCAUUGCAAAUGUAGAUGUGCUGAGAAAUUCCUGGCAUCUAAUUCGCUGUAUUCUUUCUUUUCGGACAUUGGAUGAAUUGCCUUUGGAAGCUGAAACUGUUGAAAGAGGAUACAGUUUGAGUUUUGAUUCCACAAGAUUGCCAAAGGUCCAUGGACUGCCAACAUCAACAAUGUAUAGCAGUGGUUCCAGUGAUUCCUCCACAGCUUCUCCUAAGAACCCGAAGUCCCGGAAGUCAUCCCACUCAGGGGAGCUACAGCCACAUCUAUAUGCUGAUUCUAAUGGAAGUGGACAUGCUUACAUGCCAGGUCUCUAUCCAACAGUAGACUUUUAAGCCAUUUGAUCGAGCAUAUUGGUCAAUUUCUAAGAGUGUCCAGGCAUAUUAUAUUUCUUUGAAUUUCUAAGUCACCUUACGCAUGCAACUUCCAGAUUAUUGAAAUCCCAACUUUCAAAGAUGGCUUAGAAAGACAUAAGCAAA